AACGAACGCUGGCGGCAGGCUUAACACAUGCAAGUCGAACGCCCCGCAAGGGGAGUGGCAGACGGGUGAGUAACGCGUGGGAAUCUACCCAUCUCUGCGGAAUAGCUCUGGGAAACUGGAAUUAAUACCGCAUACGCCCUACGGGGGAAAGAUUUAUCGGGGAUGGAUGAGCCCGCGUUGGAUUAGCUAGUUGGUGGGGUAAAGGCCUACCAAGGCGACGAUCCAUAGCUGGUCUGAGAGGAUGAUCAGCCACAUUGGGACUGAGACACGACCCAAACUCCUACNNGNGGCAGCAGUGGGGAAUAUUGGACAAUGGGCGCAAGCCUGAUCCAGCCAUGCCGCGUGAGUGAUGAAGGCCUUAGGGUUGUAAAGCUCUUUCACCGANGAAGAUAAUGACGGUAGUCGGAGAAGAAGCCCCGGCUAACUUCGUGCCAGCAGCCGCCGUAA
RNAcentral lists this ribosomal RNA (447 nucleotides) under uncultured bacterium. RNAcentral's name for it is "partial 16S ribosomal RNA". It matches the Rfam family "Bacterial small subunit ribosomal RNA", at positions 29 to 523 of the family's 1533-position model. The record is from RNAcentral.